Molecule: long non-coding RNA, 848 nt
Filed under: Setaria viridis
Lineage: Eukaryota; Viridiplantae; Streptophyta; Magnoliopsida; Poales; Poaceae
Description: long non-coding RNA (SVIR_LNC005608)
Source: RNAcentral
GAAGAAGCAUAUGCGCAGUACCUCGAGGAGGCGGAGCCUAUCGCGUCGAAGAUGUCGGAGUUUGUCUCUCCAGAAGAGCCUUGAGCGUUUUAUGUAGUCUUGAAUCUGUGUCGAGUACUUUGAACAAUAUUUUGACAAAUGAAUGUUUGCCCAUUUUCUUGUUGCGUGAAGUUAUUAUCUUGCAAAGAGUAGUUUUACUCUAUCUUGUCCGACCCAAAGUCCCGGGGUCAACUGAGCCUGACCCUUUGGGGGGGGGGGAGCUCCGCCUCGCCCGACCCUAAGUCCUGGGGUCGGCUAAGCCCGACCCUUUGGGGGAGAAGCUCCGCCUCGCCCGACCCUGAGUCCUGGGGUCCGGUGCGCCCGACCCCUGAGCAGAGGGUCAGAGUAGUCCAAGCCCCCAAGAUAAUGAUAUAGAUCGUGCUUAGCUUAGAGUAGUGCUUAGCUUUUGAGGGACACGGGUGUACUGUACUCCUUUGUUCUUUUGUGGAUGCGUGGGUGUACUAUACUCUUUUGUCCUUUGUAUCAUAAGUGCCAUGACGUGGGUAGAGUCAGGAGUCGUCAGACUCAUUGAUCACGGGUGCAUAGUAACUCUUGGGCAGGUGGUAGUUGCAUCUUUCGGCUAUAAAUAGAGCCAUAUGGAGAGCGAACCAAACCAAGUUUCUGAGUAGCAAUGGAUUGCUUUCGGUUGCUUAUUUUUGAGUGUAGAGAGCCAUCAAAGAGUGCACCGGUGCUAGAAGAUUCCUCGUAGAUUGAGGCCACCUUCCCUCCACAGACUCCUGCGCUCGUAGGGAUAGCCACGAUGCUAGAAGAAUCCUCGUAGGAGGUUUCGUCGCAUGCCUCAUCUUGCA